GCGUGAGUGAAGAAGGCCUUAGGGUUGUAAAGCUCUUUCGACGGGGAAGAUGAUGACGGUACCCGUAGAAGAAGCCCCGGCUAACUCCGUGCCAGCAGCCGCGGUAAUACGGAGGGGGCUAGCGUUGUUCGGAAUUACUGGGCGUAAAGCGCACGUAGGCGGUUUGGCCAGUCAGAGGUGAAAUCCCCAGGCUCAACCUGGGAAUUGCCUUUGAUACUGCCUGACUAGAGUCCGGGAGAGGGUAGUGGAAUUCCCAGUGUAGAGGUGAAAUUCGU
Molecule: ribosomal RNA, 275 nt
Filed under: uncultured bacterium
Lineage: Bacteria
Description: partial 16S ribosomal RNA
Rfam family: Bacterial small subunit ribosomal RNA
Source: RNAcentral